GUAGGUGGCAAGCGUUGUCCGGGAAUUAUUGGGGCGUAAAGCGCGCGCAGGCGGUUCUUUAAGUCUGAUGUGAAAGCCCACGGGCUCAACCGUGGAGGGUCAUUGGAAACUGGAGAACUUGAGUACAGAAGAGGAAAGCGGAAUUCCACGUGUAGCGGUGAAAUGCGUAGAGAUGUGAGGAACACCAGUGGCGAAGGCGGCUUUCUGGUCUGUAACUGACGCUGAGGCGCGAAAGCGUGGGGAGCAAACAGGAUUAGAUACCCUGGUAGUCCACGCCGUAAACGAUGAGUGCUAAGUGUUAGGGGGUUUCCGCCCCUUAGUGCUGCAGCUAACGCAUUAAGCACUCCGCCUGGGGAGUACGGCCGCAAAGGCUGA
RNAcentral lists this ribosomal RNA (375 nucleotides) under uncultured organism. RNAcentral describes it as "partial 16S ribosomal RNA". It matches the Rfam family "Bacterial small subunit ribosomal RNA", at positions 527 to 897 of the family's 1533-position model. The record is from RNAcentral.